RNAcentral lists this ribosomal RNA (254 nucleotides) under uncultured bacterium. RNAcentral's name for it is "partial 16S ribosomal RNA". It matches the Rfam family "Bacterial small subunit ribosomal RNA", at positions 524 to 776 of the family's 1533-position model. The record is from RNAcentral.
CACGUAGGCACCAAGCGUUGUCCGGAUUUAUUGGGCGUAAAGAGCUCGUAGGCGGUUCGGUAAGUCGGGUGUGAAAACUUUGGGCUCAACCCAAAGCGUGCACUCGAUACUGCCAUGACUAGAGUUCGGUAGGGGAGUGGGGAAUCCCUAGUGUAGCGGUGAAAUGCGUAGAUAUCGAGAGGAACACCUGCGGCGAAGGCGGGUAGCUGGGCCGACACUGACGCUGAUGCGCGAAAGCCAGGGGAGCGAACGGG